AAUUUUAAAUAUACUAAAGCUCUGUUGCCCCAUUCCCUGUUCAUCACUGUACACAGUGGAGUGACGGUUUUGCCCUUAUUAUUUUGAUGAAUGACAGUGUUGCCUGAGAAGUUCGGCUAUAAUUCUGGGUUCUUCUUCUUUUUGGAAGUAUCUGUUUUCACUAUCUCCACACCGACAUCGGUUCUUGCAGACUGUCAAUGUGGUUUUCGGUUCAAUUUUCAGUCUAUGUUGGGUUUCUGUUUGAUUACACUUAACAAAACCUGUUUUUUGCUUUCCGAUUUUGUUGAAACAGAAGAAGAGGAGGAGGAGGAAGAAGAAGAAGAAGAGGGAGACGGGAAGAAGUUGUCGCUCGAUUCGAACAAAUCAUCUCAGGGGUAUUGUUCCUGCUUCAGUUUGGGGUUUGAGUGAUUGAUUUGAGGACGUUGAAGUUCAAUUGCUUUGGGAGUCAUUUCUGUUGAGAAGAGAUGGAGCUAUCCCUGGUCUCACUUGAAAGAAACCUCCUUAAAGGGAUGAAGAAGCCGUGAAGAAAUCAACGCUGGUCUGCGCCGAAACAUUGAAGAAUGAGGCAAUCCAAGGAUCUUUUCUAGAAGCAUACUACACCACAGUAAGGACUGCUGCCUUCUUCCUUGCCUAGCAGUUUUUGGUUUCUCAACUUUCUCUCUAUUUACUUUCCUUGCUGCUGCCUCCAUGCACUUUGUCAUCCGUUGCUGUGACAGGCAAGCAGAAAAACAUGGAACUACAUCAUCAUCAUCAGCACCAUUGUCAGCUGCUAAAUAGAAAAACAAUUGAAUUGAAAUAGCUAUGUUAUAUAGCUUUUGCUAGACUAAUCAAUUUCGUGCAGCUGCAACUCCAACUCCAAUCGGAGCCGUCACUUUUUUGAACCAACACUAGCAUUUUACAAAG
This is a long non-coding RNA of Rosa rugosa (rugosa rose), 903 nucleotides long. RefSeq lists it as uncharacterized. The record is from RefSeq and is a predicted model, not a curated record. The transcript is spliced from 8 exons. Lineage: Eukaryota; Viridiplantae; Streptophyta; Magnoliopsida; Rosales; Rosaceae.